Molecule: long non-coding RNA, 236 nt
Organism: Eubalaena glacialis (North Atlantic right whale)
Lineage: Eukaryota; Metazoa; Chordata; Mammalia; Artiodactyla; Balaenidae
Exons: 3
Source: RefSeq, a predicted model, not a curated record
CCUUGGUACAACCAAAAAGACCAGUGUUUACUUUUCAUUAAAAGCUUGCGGGAUCUUAGUUCUCCAACCAGGGAUUGAACCUGUGCCCUCAGCAGUGAAAGCACCGAGUCCUAACCACUGGAUCGCCAAGGAAUUCCCUCUCUCUUUUUUUUUAAAUUUUUGCCUUUUUUCUGUGCAACGGGGUCAAAAAUUCAAGGUGAAGUUGAGAAAAAUUAAAAGCCAUAAAAGAUAAGCCA